UAGUGUUCAUUCGUGUGCUCCGUGUGUAAGUGACCGUGUUCAGUUCACAUGACCAAUGCCGUCUUCUGUCGUACCACUGUGUGGUCGGGGCCAUUAAGUGUAUACCCACUUGUUUUGUUGCUUCGCAAAAUCUGUAAUGUACUAUAAGGAAUCGUUCCCUUUAAAGGUGUACGCACUGCAUCCGCCAGCUGAAUGCAAGAGCAGAGUCUUCCGCGCAGCACUGCGUUUGCGCAACAAUUUAAAGUGAUAAACCGCUUCAUCCAUUCAGAUCCCAGACAGCACAUGUACGUCUGGCCGACGUCGGCCCAAAAUCGAAACGUCGGCCUCUAUACCUAAAACAUCUAUAAAACAUCGGCCUGGCGGAGGCCGAUAUAAUUUGGUCAGUGCUCUGUUCUCCAGCUCAUCAAUCGUCGGCCCUGAAUUGGUUCACGACCGCGGGCCGAUGCCGCGCUUAUCUGUGUGCGCGUGCCCAGUAUUCGUCUCUUUUAGCCACCCAGAGAGAGAGAAGAGGAUAAUCCCAGCGACAUCUGUGGCUCUGAGGCUUCCAGAAAUAAUCCAGUGAAAUAAUAUGAUGUUUGUUUGUGUAAAUGCUGUGUGCGCGUUGAGUCCUGCGCGAGCUGGGAGCAGAGUUGCCAUGGAAACGGGGCGUCAACACAAAAACCGUUACUGGCAAGCAGUAAUCUCCGUCUCUCUCUGCAGUUUACACUGUUUUGGAAACGGUUUAGUUUCUUCGAAAAAGUCCGUUAGCAUCUUAGCAGUUUUCAGGAGGACAGAAAGAAACUCUACAGAACAGAAGUGAAGCUCCAAGAUUUCAAAAUUUCUGAAGGGAGAUUCCGACUUAGAAAUACAGGUGACCUGAAGAAGCUCAUGAAAAACAUGAAUAUGCCUUUUUCAGAAUACAUUUCACCAAUUUUAAGAAGUCCCUGACAUCAUAACUGAUGAUGAGCAGAGUCUGAGUGAAC
Long non-coding RNA from Carassius auratus (goldfish), 962 nucleotides. RefSeq lists it as uncharacterized. NCBI's taxonomy places the organism in Eukaryota, Metazoa, Chordata, Actinopteri, Cypriniformes, Cyprinidae. The record is from RefSeq and is a predicted model, not a curated record. The transcript is spliced from 6 exons.